CGCGGAGUGGAGCAGUUGGUAGCUCGUCGGGCUCAUAACCCGAAGGUCGUUGGUUCGAGUCCAGCCUCCGCAACCA
Molecule: transfer RNA, 76 nt
Filed under: Bacillota bacterium
Lineage: Bacteria; Bacillati; Bacillota
Description: tRNA-Met
Rfam family: tRNA
About the family: Transfer RNA (tRNA) molecules are approximately 80 nucleotides in length. Their secondary structure includes four short double-helical elements and three loops (D, anti-codon, and T loops).
Source: RNAcentral